This 469-nucleotide ribosomal RNA is filed under the name Bacillus sp. (in: firmicutes). RNAcentral's name for it is "bacterial SSU rRNA". It matches the Rfam family "Bacterial small subunit ribosomal RNA", at positions 336 to 796 of the family's 1533-position model. Lineage: Bacteria; Bacillati; Bacillota; Bacilli; Caryophanales; Bacillaceae. The record is from RNAcentral.
UUCCUACGGGAGGCAGCAGUAGGGAAUCUUCCGCAAUGGACGAAAGUCUGACGGAGCAACGCCGCGUGAGUGAUGAAGGUUUUCGGAUCGUAAAGCUCUGUUGUUAGGGAAGAACAAGUGCCGUUCAAAUAGGGCGGCGCCUUGACGGUACCUAACCAGAAAGCCACGGCUAACUACGUGCCAGCAGCCGCGGUAAUACGUAGGUGGCAAGCGUUGUCCGGAAUUAUUGGGCGUAAAGGGCUCGCAGGCGGUUUCUUAAGUCUGAUGUGAAAGCCCCCGGCUCAACCGGGGAGGGUCAUUGGAAACUGGGGAACUUGAGUGCAGAAGAGGAGAGUGGAAUUCCACGUGUAGCGGUGAAAUGCGUAGAGAUGUGGAGGAACACCAGUGGCGAAGGCGACUCUCUGGUCUGUAACUGACGCUGAGGAGCGAAAGCGUGGGGAGCGAACAGGAUUAGAUACCCUGGUAGUCC